GGAGGGUGUAGCUCAGUGGUAGAGUGCAUGCUUAGCAUGCAUUAGGUCCUGGGUUCAAUUCCCAGUACCUCCA
This 73-nucleotide transfer RNA is filed under the name Vicugna pacos (alpaca). Its description in RNAcentral is "tRNA-Ala (AGC) (tRNA-Ala-AGC-604-1)". It matches the Rfam family "tRNA". Rfam says of the family: Transfer RNA (tRNA) molecules are approximately 80 nucleotides in length. Their secondary structure includes four short double-helical elements and three loops (D, anti-codon, and T loops). The record is from RNAcentral. Lineage: Eukaryota; Metazoa; Chordata; Mammalia; Artiodactyla; Camelidae.